UACGUAGGGCGCAAGCGUUAUCCGGAAUUAUUGGGCGUAAAGAGCUCGUAGGCGGUUUGUCGCGUCUGCCGUGAAAGUCCGGGGCUCAACUCCGGAUCUGCGGUGGGUACGGGCAGACUAGAGUGAUGUAGGGGAGACUGGAAUUCCUGGUGUAGCGGUGAAAUGCGCAGAUAUCAGGAGGAACACCGGUGGCGAAGGCGGAUCUCUGGGCCUUACCUGACGCUCAGGCGCGAAAGCUAGGGGAGCGAACAGG
Molecule: ribosomal RNA, 253 nt
Filed under: uncultured bacterium
Lineage: Bacteria
Description: partial 16S ribosomal RNA
Rfam family: Bacterial small subunit ribosomal RNA
Source: RNAcentral